UGGGGGAUAUUGCACAAUGGGCGAAAGCCUGAUGCAGCGACGCCGCGUGGGGGAUGAAGGCCUUCGGGUUGUAAACUUCUUUUGCUCUGAACAAGGCAUGCUAAUGGGUGUGUUGAGUGUAGGGGUUGAUUAGCGCCGGCUAACUACGUGCCAGCAGCCGCGGUAAUACGUAGGGCGAGAGCGUUGUCCGGAAUUAUUGGGCGUAAAGGGCUUGUAGGUGGCUGGUUGCGUCUGUCGUGAAAGCUCAUGGCUUAACUGUGGGUUUGCGGUGGGUACGGGCUGGCUUGAGUGACGUAGGGGAGGCUGGAAUUCCUGGUGUAGCGGUGGAAUGCGCAGAUAUCAGGAGGAAUACCGGUGGCGAACGCGGGGCUCUGGGCUGUUACUGACUCUGAGGAGCGAAAGCAUGGGGAGCGAACAGG
This 419-nucleotide ribosomal RNA is filed under the name bacterium. Its description in RNAcentral is "partial 16S ribosomal RNA". It matches the Rfam family "Bacterial small subunit ribosomal RNA", at positions 355 to 776 of the family's 1533-position model. The record is from RNAcentral.